AAGUCUGAUGUGAAAGCCCACGGCUCAACCGUGGAGGGUCAUUGGAAACUGGGAGACUUGAGUGCAGAAGAGGAUAGUGGAAUUCCAAGUGUAGCGGUGAAAUGCGUAGAGAUUUGGAGGAACACCAGUGGCGAAGGCGACUAUCUGGUCUGUAACUGACACUGAGGCGCGAAAGCGUGGGGAGCAAACAGGAUUAGAUACCCUGGUAGUCCACGCCGUAAACGAUGAGUGCUAAGUGUUAGGGGGUUUCCGCCCCUUAGUGCUGCAGCUAACGCAUUAAGCACUCCGCCUGGGGAGUACGGUCGCAAGACUGAAACUCAA
RNAcentral lists this ribosomal RNA (321 nucleotides) under Lysinibacillus fusiformis. RNAcentral's name for it is "bacterial SSU rRNA". It matches the Rfam family "Bacterial small subunit ribosomal RNA", at positions 585 to 904 of the family's 1533-position model. The record is from RNAcentral. Lineage: Bacteria; Bacillati; Bacillota; Bacilli; Caryophanales; Bacillaceae.